AGAGACAGCAGUCGCCGCGGGAAUACGUAGGGUGCGAGCGUUAAUCGGAAUUACUGGGCGUAAAGCGUGCGCAGGCGGUUCGUUAAGACAGAUGUGAAAUCCCCGGGCUUAACCUGGGAACUGCAUUUGUGACUGGCGAGCUAGAGUAUGGCAGAGGGGGGUAGAAUUCCACGUGUAGCAGUGAAAUGCGUAGAGAUGUGGAGGAAUACCGAUGGCGAAGGCAGCCCCCUGGGCCAAUACUGACGCUCAUGCACGAAAGCGUGGGGAGCAAACAGGAUUAGAUACCCCGGUAGUCCCUGUCUCUUAUAC
RNAcentral lists this ribosomal RNA (309 nucleotides) under uncultured bacterium. Its description in RNAcentral is "partial 16S ribosomal RNA". It matches the Rfam family "Bacterial small subunit ribosomal RNA", at positions 504 to 807 of the family's 1533-position model. The record is from RNAcentral.